AAUCAAAGGAGAUAACUUUUUUGUGUAUCAGACGUAGUUGAUGCAGAAAAGACUUAUCAUCAAAUUCUAUGAAUUUUUAUACAGGCCUUUAAGAAUGUACUAGACAAGUAUUUGGGGGUUCACAUUACUUCACCAACAUCAAACCUAUGAAGCAUGUCUCGGCAUCGUGUACUGGCUGAUCGGACAAGAGAGAACAUGUUGCUAUUGAUAUACUAUUGCGAACAUAAGCGAAGAGGGUAUCGACGACACUCGCCAUGCGCUCGCCGUGUGUAUUACACAUGCAAAAUGAUAAUUUUCAUUGGUUACAUCAAGGUUUAAGCCAAAACACCAGUUCAAAAGUAGUAAUAUCUAAAAUAUGGUUAGAAAACCAUAAACUCUAAAAUUCUGAUUCAGAAACAUGAUCUUUAGAAUUUUAAUACUUGCACAAACGUAAAUCAUCUUCCAAUUCAUCCUCAUCAACCAAAGACAAAACAGGACUUUUAGACCAUAUGAUUCCCUCUCUGGGUUUGACGAUAGAUUAUAUCAUAAGGCACAUCAACACUAUUAUUGCUCGCUUUACGUGAUACUAGUUUAGCGUUCAAUAGCAAGCGCUUCGUGUACAUCGCAUGGCCUUGGAGUCUUAAGGCGACUGAAUCCCAUUUGGAUAAACUAGUAUCUUAAGCUUCUGUUCAAAAAAAGAAAAGUCAUAACCAUACAGUUAAGCUAUAUAUAUGAAGAAUUUAGAACCUGAUGUAUGGUAUAAAAAUAGUUAUUCAAUGAAAAAGUUAGUGAAACAAAAAACGAGUACGAGCUAGAAAUAAGCAAAAGCAUAAAGCAUAACACAAAGGGAGUGUUUGUGACUUUUUUUUUGUCUUUGAGGAAUAUUAAUAUUUGAUUUAAUUUGUAAAGUUAUGGAUAUUCAAACUUGUCAUGUCAAAGGGAAAUAAAUUAUGGAUCAAAAAAAAAUUUGUUGAUAUAUAUAUAUUUUUUUUUGAAAAAAAUCUUUUUUUUGUUUUUUUUUUUUUGCAUAAAGCAUAUAGCACAAAGGGAGUGUUUGUGACUUCUUCUUUUUUGAUUUUUUUUUUGAUAUUUUGCCCAUCCCUAUAACCAAUUACACAUCUAAAAUCGAACUGAAUCGAUGUCGUGAACUAGAAAACUUUCAUUAAUAUAUUAAAUUCAUCAGUUUACCAUAUAUUAAAUCUUAAAUAAUAACGAGUAAACCCAAGGAUCAACUGCAUGUGCUUUUAAAUUUGUCAUCCAUGGGACUGUUAAUUAAUUAAAUAACGAUAAAGUUAUGUAAACUUUCCUUAAGACUAAUAAAGGGACCAAAGCAGAUGUCAAAAAAAAAGAAGGGACCAAAGCUCUUUGUAAUAAAUAAAGGUUUAAAAGGGUUAGCUUGCUCUCUACUUUUCUUUUCCUUAUAAAGUGAAACCCUACCGACUUCUUCGCGGCUGACCAACAAAUAAAUAAAAAACAUUCGGAAUCUUCCAGACACAUCCACUAUUGGCUGCUCUCUGGUACGUGAAAACUUGUUCAUAUGUUUCCUCGUCUCUGCUUGGUUAAAUUGUUUUCUUCUCCCAAGUAUCGCCAUGGACUAGACUCUUACCUCCUUCGAGUCUAGCACACAUAAAUUAAGAGCUGUCUGCAACAUUAAUUAAACAUUAAUUACAUGUGCAACCUCUUAGGUUUUUCAAGAUCAUUAGCAAAUUGCACAGUUUAAAUGCUUUUUUCACUAUGGUUAACUUUGAAGACCUAUAUAUAAUAAGACAUGGUUUUUGAGCUUUGCAGAUUUUUUUACUGUGAAAAAAUGUGUGAAAAUAUGAGUUUAUCCGAAGAAGAAAUCAGAAUGCUUUUCAGAGUCAACAAGACACUUAACCAUAUGCUCAAAGAUCGUGGGUACAUUGUCACGGAUGCUGAACUUGAGAUGACACAAGAACAGUUUAUCGACCAAUACGGCGAGAACAUGGAAAGAAAAGAUCUUGUUAUUCUCAAGACUAAGAAGAACGAUGAAUCUGAUAAGGUUUGUGAGUAAGUUUUUUGUUUUUAAGUGUUUUUUUUUUCAAUUCUUCUAAUUUAAUGCUCAAGUUCCUUCUCGUGGUGGUGGUAGAUCUUUGUCUUUUUUCUACAAGAAACAAAAGUUAAAAUGGUCGGCAUCAAGGCUUGCUUUGAGCGCAUGGUAGCUCAGAACGUCUUCAGAGCAAUUCUUGUUGUGAGGAAGGAUAUGAAUCGCUUCGCUCUCUCUGCUGUAACCGACGCAAACUCAAAACGAAUACUUUACUUGGAAAGUUUUAAGGUUUGUGAGAAAGUUUAUGCUGCUCCUCCCUUGUUUGUGUCUCGAAACCUACUCUUAUAAAGCUCAUGUUUCAUGUGCAGGAGACAGAGCUUCUAAUGAACGUGAAGGAACACGCUUUUGUUCCGGGGCAUAUAGCUCUGACAACUGAGGAGAAGAACGCUUUGUUGGAGAAGUACACUGUGCAAGAGAAUCAGGUUAGGUAUCUUGACACUCUUUAACCAAUGAAAACGAGACAAAACAAAACUUUGAUGUUUGAUCUCUUUGUUGGGAUUGUUUUUUCACUGUAGCUAACAUGUUUGUUUUUUACUCACUUGUGUUGGAUUUUUGAUAGCUUCCACGUAUUCAGUAUACGGACCCUAUAGCGAAAUACUAUGGGCUAAAACGUGGAGAAGUCGUGAAGAUCAUACGCAACAGUGAAACAUCUGGUCGUUAUGUCACAUACCGCUUUGUUAUAUGAUACUAAGAGCUUCUGAUAGGAUCAGAUCAUGGAGUUACCGGAUAAAGACUUAGAACGACUUCAUUAGUUUUUUAAUUUAGUGAAAUUUUCAGUUUUGGUGAGGAGAUGUAAGGAACUUUAUAUGUUUUUAUCUCAAUCAAUAUAUAUAUAUAGAUAGUAGUUGAAAGACUUGGACCUUGAUCAUGAUAUAUAGUGCAUGUCAAGAAUAGACACUGCUCAAUGGCUAUAUUAUAAGUAAUCAAACUAAAAAAAAAACUCAAGUCCUAAAAACUGAAAAGUGGAUUCACAAAGGAGAUGCUGUGGUUUUGUGACAUGCUUCUUCAGCCAAUAACCUCUGAGUUUGAGUCAUCAGAAGGCCAUAUCACGGUCUCCAUCAGCCGUUCACGCAUCAAGGCCAAGUUCUCAUCUGAUAUAUCUUGAUAUAUCUUCCCAUGGUCGCAUUUCUAUAACAAACAACAAACUAGAACACCAUUAGUUUUUGAAUCUUUUCUGGUUCCCAUGACAGAUUUAGAGGUUGGUUUUACCUUGAUCCACUUGCCAUACAAGUGGAGACGCGUGAUCAUAACUCUUUCUGCAAGCUCCUGACUCUCCUACAAGUCAGUUGUGACAAGAUAAACACAAGAGUUCUCAUUUGAUUCUCUAGUCAAUAUGUUUCAUGCCAAGGUCUAAACAAGUAUGAAUUAAAAGUAAUAUACCACAACACAGAAAGUGGUUAUGAUAAAAACAAAUAUAUUUUAGCAAAAAAUAAAAACAAAUAUAUGAAACUGCUUAUUCUUAUUCUCAUUCACUAGCAUAGGAAGAACUCUCAACCCAAAGGGCUCUCCCAAAACCUUCUAUAAUUUUACAACCUUGAACAAUUUCCCCUCACUAACUGCACUCUAAGUAACUCACAAGAGCUACGAUCUACUACAUUUAGUCCUACGCUAAAUAUAGUAGAUCAAUAGAUAAAGUUUAAGCAGCUAAACAUCUUCAACUAGGCUUAUCAGAUGCUAUAGACUAAGUUUUUGUUACCUUGCCGAGUUUGCGGAGGAAACGUUUGCCUUCAGUUGGUCUGUUUGAUACGACGUAACUAUUGUAAAACAAAAAAUAAACCAUAAGACCAUAAGCCAAGAAUUAUAAUCUAAUCAAGUAUUUUUGUAAUCAUUGCACAUGAGUGACUUACUUAUAAAACCAAGUGUAUUGGGGAGGAUUCAUUUCAUAUAACUGAUGAAGAACCGUCCUCACAGCUUUGUAAGUGAAAUAGUUAAUAAGUUGCUGCAAAAUUUGUAAAAGUGAUGAGAGAGCCAUAUAAGCUUAAAACAAUUUGUUUCAUUCAAAAAAGUUCUCACCGUUUUGACAUCUCCGAAGGUAUCAUCGUAGUUCCCAGCAACGUCCUCGUUAACAAUCAAGAGCUUCUUCUUGCUCCUUCUACUCGCAAUUCUUGGUACGCGUUUAGAAGAAAUCCUGAAAACAAUGCUUGAGCCAGUAAAGGAGCUUCCUAACUCUAGCUUUCUUGAACUGCCAUGGAUCUUCUUCUUGCUCCUCGUGUGAGCAUCCAGACAUAAACAUGGAACGCUCGGAGAAUCCAUCACAGAUGAGCCAAUAACAAACAGAGACCCCACCAUUACUCCCAAGCAGCAAGAAGAUCAGAACUAUUCCCCCGGUGAUAUGGGAGAACCAGUUUCAGAAAUCAACAAAGAGUUUGGUGGAUGGAUGGUAAGAAUCUGAAGAAAGAAAGAAAGAUGAAACGUGUUUGGGGUAAUACGAAACAGAGGAACACGAGUUGGGUGUGUAAGAUGGAAAAUGGCCGUUGAAUAACAGCCAGUCAAAAAUCAUAUACAAGUCUUUUAGAUAUUUAUUUUUUCUUCCUAAAAGCAAAGGCAAAGACAAACAAGAAAACCCACCGGGUGGGCUUUCGGGUUCACGUGGAUUGGAUACUAAGUAGAAUAAGGUCGUCUUGUAACUUGUAACUUAGAAAUUGCACAGAGCAUAUCACAUGUCCAUCUUAAAGGAAUAGACUAGGAAAAUACUAAUGUAGAGAAAAUAGAUUGAAUGUGGUUAAAGAGGUGCGAUAGACCAAUUGCCAAGAAGAAAAGUCCAGGUACGAUGUGGACCACCCAUGUUAUAGCUUUGAAGGUUCACUACAUUGCAAAUAUGAAUGACUUGAAUAUGAAUGUAACAGUUGAAUAAUGUUGUAAAUAUACAUUUAUAUGGUUAAUAAGAGGUGCCAUAGACCAAGUGCAAAGAAGAAAAGUCCCGGUACAGUGUGGACCACCAAUGUUAUAGCUUUGAAGGUUAAAGAUUGUGGAGGAUGGCAACUGGCAAUAAAUAUAUAACUUUGCAAAGAUAGACGAAUUUAAGAUUCAGUAUAUAACAGUUGAACGAGCAAAGGUCUUGAUUUUUGCUUCAAGAAUGAUGAUGCAACAUCAAACCUAUGAAGCAUGUCUCGGCAUCGUGUACUGGCUGAUCGGACAAGAGAGAACAUGUUGCUAUUGAUAUACUAUUGCGAACAUAAGCGAAGAGGGUAUCGACGACACUCGCCAUGCGCUCGCCGUGUGUAUUACACAUGCAAAAUGAUAAUUUUCAUUGGUUACAUCAAGGUUUAAGCCAAAACACCAGUUCAAAAGUAGUAAUAUCUAAAAUAUGGUUAGAAAACCAUAAACUCUAAAAUUCUGAUUCAGAAACAUGAUCUUUAGAAUUUUAAUACUUGCACAAACGUAAAUCAUCUUCCAAUUCAUCCUCAUCAACCAAAGACAAAACAGGAC
RNAcentral lists this long non-coding RNA (5473 nucleotides) under Brassica napus (rape). RNAcentral's name for it is "long non-coding RNA (BNAP_LNC002058)". The record is from RNAcentral. Lineage: Eukaryota; Viridiplantae; Streptophyta; Magnoliopsida; Brassicales; Brassicaceae.